GGGCGCAUAGCUCAGCGGGAGAGCACUGCUUUCACACGGCAGGGGUCGGUGGUUCGAUCCCACCUGCGCCCACCA
Molecule: transfer RNA, 75 nt
Filed under: Thermochromatium tepidum ATCC 43061
Lineage: Bacteria; Pseudomonadati; Pseudomonadota; Gammaproteobacteria; Chromatiales; Chromatiaceae
Description: tRNA-Val
Rfam family: tRNA
About the family: Transfer RNA (tRNA) molecules are approximately 80 nucleotides in length. Their secondary structure includes four short double-helical elements and three loops (D, anti-codon, and T loops). Further hydrogen bonds mediate the characteristic L-shaped molecular structure. tRNAs have two regions of fundamental functional importance: the anti-codon, which is responsible for specific mRNA codon recognition, and the 3' end, to which the tRNAs corresponding amino acid is attached (by aminoacyl-tRNA synthetases). tRNAs cope with the degeneracy of the genetic code in two manners: having more than one tRNA (with a specific anti-codon) for a particular amino acid; and 'wobble' base-pairing, i.e. permitting non-standard base-pairing at the 3rd anti-codon position.
Source: RNAcentral